Acanthosepion pharaonis is the source of this 114-nucleotide non-coding RNA. The record is from the annotation of a GenBank genome assembly. Lineage: Eukaryota; Metazoa; Mollusca; Cephalopoda; Sepiida; Sepiidae.
UUACGACCAUAUAACGUUGGACCAUCAGUUCUCGUACGUUCAACGAAGUUAAGCAACAUCGUGCCUGGUCAUUACCUAGAUGGGUGAGCACCUGGGAAUGUCAGGUGUUGAAAG